This 251-nucleotide ribosomal RNA is filed under the name uncultured prokaryote. RNAcentral's name for it is "partial 16S rRNA". It matches the Rfam family "Bacterial small subunit ribosomal RNA", at positions 525 to 775 of the family's 1533-position model. The record is from RNAcentral.
ACGGAGGGUGCAAGCGUUAAUCGGAAUUACUGGGCGUAAAGCGCGCGCAGGCGGUUGUGCAAGACAGAUGUGAAAUCCCCGGGCUUAACCUGGGAACUGCAUUUGAGACUGCACAGCUAGAGUGUGGGAGAGGGGGGUAGAAUUCCAGGUGUAGCGGUGAAAUGCGUAGAGAUGUGGAGGAAUACCGAUGGCGAAGGCAGCCCCCUGGGAUAACACUGACGCUCAUGCGCGAAAGCGUGGGGAGCAAACAG